GCCCGGGUGGUGGAACUGGUAGACACGUACGUUUGAGGGGCGUAUGGCGAAAGCUGUGCGGGUUCGAAUCCCGCCCCGGGCA
This 82-nucleotide transfer RNA is filed under the name bacterium. Its description in RNAcentral is "tRNA-Leu". It matches the Rfam family "tRNA". From Rfam's summary of the family: Transfer RNA (tRNA) molecules are approximately 80 nucleotides in length. Their secondary structure includes four short double-helical elements and three loops (D, anti-codon, and T loops). The record is from RNAcentral. RNAcentral also lists the same sequence under 1 other name.